AGAAGUGUAAUAUUAUCACGAGGCAGGGUUCCCCAACCCCAAGAAGGAGAGGUUAGAAGUGUAAUAUUAUCAUGAGGCAGGGUUUCCCAACCCCAAGAACGAGAUGUUAGAAGUGUAAUAUUAUCAUAAGGCAGGGUUCCCCAACCCCAAGAAGGAGAGGUUAGAAGUGUAAUAUUAUCACGAGGCAGGGUUCCCCAACCCCAAGAACGAGAUGUUAGAAGUGUAAUAUUAUCAUGAGGCAGGGUUCCCCAAGAAGGAGAGGUUAGGAGAAGUGUAAUAUUAUCAUAAGGCAGGGUUCCCCAACCCCAAGAAGGAGAGGUUAGGAGAAGUGUAAUAUUAUCACGAGACAGGGUUCCCCAACUGGCAUCCCACAGGUGGUUUUAUUUGGCCCCCAAGUAAAAAGUUUAUCACCUCCAAACGAUUUAAUUAAAAAAAAAUCUGUUCCCAAGUAUUCCCCACGCAUAAUAGAGAGAAACGUCAUCGUAUACAAAUGUAAGCCAAGCUUGAAGUUGUUUGUCAAACAUCUG
Oncorhynchus tshawytscha (Chinook salmon) is the source of this 527-nucleotide long non-coding RNA. Lineage: Eukaryota; Metazoa; Chordata; Actinopteri; Salmoniformes; Salmonidae. The record is from Ensembl.